UACAGAGGUGGCAAGCGUUGUUCGGAAUUACUGGGCGUAAAGGGCGCGUAGGCGGUCUUGUAAGUCUUGUGUGAAAUCCCUCGGCUUAACUGAGGAACUGCACGGGAUACUGCUUGACUUGAGAUCGGGAGAGGGAAGCGGAAUUCCGGGUGUAGCGGUGAAAUGCGUAGAUAUCCGGAGGAACACCGGUGGCGAAGGCGGCAUCCUGGACCAACACUGACGCUGAGGAGCGAAAGCCAGGGGAGCAAACGGG
RNAcentral lists this ribosomal RNA (253 nucleotides) under uncultured bacterium. RNAcentral's name for it is "partial 16S ribosomal RNA". It matches the Rfam family "Bacterial small subunit ribosomal RNA", at positions 524 to 776 of the family's 1533-position model. The record is from RNAcentral.